Molecule: ribosomal RNA, 521 nt
Filed under: uncultured bacterium
Lineage: Bacteria
Description: bacterial SSU rRNA
Rfam family: Bacterial small subunit ribosomal RNA
Source: RNAcentral
ACCUUACCUACCCUUGACAUGUCUGGAAUGCCGAAGAGAUUUGGCAGUGCUCGCAAGAGAACCGGAACACAGGUGCUGCAUGGCUGUCGUCAGCUCGUGUCGUGAGAUGUUGGGUUAAGUCCCGCAACGAGCGCAACCCUUGUCAUUAGUUGCUACGCAAGAGCACUCUAAUGAGACUGCCGGUGACAAACCGGAGGAAGGUGGGGAUGACGUCAAGUCCUCAUGGCCCUUAUGGGUAGGGCUUCACACGUCAUACAAUGGUCGGGACAGAGGGUCGCCAACCCGCGAGGGGGAGCCAAUCUCAGAAACCCGAUCGUAGUCCGGAUCGCAGUCUGCAACUCGACUGCGUGAAGUCGGAAUCGCUAGUAAUCGCGGAUCAGAAUGUCGCGGUGAAUACGUUCCCGGGUCUUGUACACACCGCCCGUCACACCAUGGGAGUGGGUUUCACCAGAAGUAGGUAGCCUAACCGUAAGGAGGGCGCUUACCACGGUGGGAUUCAUGACUGGGGUGAAGUCGUAACA